This 1912-nucleotide ribosomal RNA is filed under the name Chaetoceros neogracilis. Its description in RNAcentral is "partial Bacterial large subunit ribosomal RNA". It matches the Rfam family "Bacterial large subunit ribosomal RNA", at positions 1 to 1976 of the family's 2925-position model. The record is from RNAcentral. Lineage: Eukaryota; Bacillariophyta; Thalassiosirophyceae; Chaetocerotales; Chaetocerotaceae.
GUCAAGCAAUUAAGCGUACGUGGUGGAUGCCUUGGCAGCUAGAGGCGAUGAAGGACGUGGUAGGCCACGAAAGUCUUCGGGGAGCAGUCAAACAUGCUUUGAUCCGGAGGUAUCCGAAUGGGGAAACCCACCCAGUUUACUGGGUACCUUGCACUGAAUACAUAGGUGUAAGGGGCGAACGCGGAGAACUGAAACAUCUAAGUACCCGCAGGAAAAGAAAUCAACCGAGAUUCCCAAAGUAGCGGCGAGCGAAAUGGGAUUAGCCCUUAAGUUACAGUGGAUUUAGCAGAACGCUCUGGAAAGUGCGGCGAUAGAGGGUGAUAGCCCCGUAUGCGAAAGGUCCAUUGUAGUGAAAUCGAGUAGGUCGGGACACGUGAAAUCCUGACUGAACAUGGGGGGACCAUCCUCCAAGGCUAAAUACUCCUAGCUGACCGAUAGUGAACUAGUACCGUGAGGGAAAGGCGAAAAGAACCCCGUUGAGGGGAGUGAAAUAGAACCUGAAACCGUGUGCUUACAAGCGGUCGGAGCAUACAAGUUGUGUGACGGCGUGCCUUUUGCAUAAUGAGCCUACGAGUUACUCUUCUCUGGCAAGGUUAAGUGGUUAAGCCACGAAGCCGAAGCGAAAGCGAGUCUGAAUAGGGCGUGCAGUCAGAGGAGGUAGACGCGAAACCUUGUGAUCUACCCAUGGACAGGUUGAAGGUGCCGUAACAGGUACUGGAGGACCGAACCGAUAAACGUUGAAAAGUUUCCGGAUGAUCUGUGGGUAGGGGUGAAAGGCUAAUCAAACUGGGAAAUAGCUCGUACUCCCCGAAAUGUUUUUAGGAACAGCGUGGAUAUUAAGUUUCAUAGAGGUAGAGCUACUAAUUGGGUGCGGGGGAGUCAAAUCCUACCAAAUCCAGAUAAACUCCGAAUGCUAUGAAAUAUGAUCUGCAGUGAGGCGCGGGGUGCUAAGGUCACGCGCCGAGAGGGAAAGAACCCAGACCAUCAGCUAAGGUCCCUAAAUUACCGCUAAGUUGAACUAACGAGGUCCGAUUGCACAGACAGCUAGGAUGUUGGCUUGGAAGCAGCCAUUCAUUUAAAGAGUGCGUAACAGCUCACUAGUCGAGCGGACGAGCAUGGAUAAUAAUCGGGCAUAAACAUAUUACCGAAGCUAUGGACUUGUAAAAGUGGUAGGGGAGCAUUGUAACCUGCGUAGAAGGUGUGUUGUGAGACAUGCUGGAGUGGUUACAAAAGAAAAUGUAGGCAUAAGUAACGAUAAUGCGGGUGAGAAACCCGCACACCGAAAGACUAAGGUUUCCUCAGCGAUGCUAAUCAGCUGAGGGUUAGUCGGGUCCUAAGGCGAAUCCGAAGGGAGUAGUCGAUGGAUAACAGGUUAAUAUUCCUGUACUUCUUAUAAUUGCGAUGGGGUGACGGAGUAUUGAAAACACCGCGUACUGACGGAAUAGUACGUUAAAGACUGUAUUUAUAGGACCUGUAGGUAAAUCCGCAGGUUUUGGAGAAGGUCGAUAGUACCACAAAUCUUCGGAUGAGUGGAUAGUGUGUCUAAAAGCUUCCAAGAAAAACCUCUAAGCUUCAGAUUAUAAGAACCCGUACCGUAAACCGACACAGGUAGUUGGGAUGAGAAUUCUAAGGUGCUCGAGAGAUUCAUGGCUAAGGAACUAGGCAAAAUAGACCCGUAACUUCGGGAGAAGGGUCGCCCAUCUUCGGAUGGGCCGCAGUGAAAAGGUCCAGGCGACUGUUUAUCAAAAACACAGGGCUUUGCUAAAUUGAAAGAUGAUGUAUAAGGCCUGACACCUGCCCGGUGCUGGAAGGUUAAGUGGAGGGUUUAGCUUCGGCGAAGAUCUGAAAUGAAGCCCCAGUAAACGGCGGCCGUAACUAUAACGGUCCUAAGGUAGCGAAAUUCCUUGUCGGG